GAGCAAUUUUUCCUAAAGGGUUUCGUAGUCGGGUCAGGUACAUAAAUGUUUUGGAUCCAACAAGGAUGAGCUUCUACGUUUCAGAGAUUCUGGAUGCUGGACGCAAUAGUCCUUUGUUCAUGGUUUACUUGGAGGG
Brassica oleracea var. oleracea is the source of this 136-nucleotide long non-coding RNA. RefSeq lists it as uncharacterized. The transcript has 3 exons. NCBI's taxonomy places the organism in Eukaryota, Viridiplantae, Streptophyta, Magnoliopsida, Brassicales, Brassicaceae. The record is from RefSeq and is a predicted model, not a curated record.